Non-coding RNA from Arachis ipaensis, 788 nucleotides. The record is from RefSeq and is a predicted model, not a curated record. Lineage: Eukaryota; Viridiplantae; Streptophyta; Magnoliopsida; Fabales; Fabaceae.
UCAAUACAGAAUUGCUUUCAUGUUAAUUGAUGUUGGAACCUGGAAGUGCUCAUUCAGUUGUGUAGGUGAUGAUGAUAUUUGGAUUGCUUUCUCAAAAUAUAUAGUUUAAACGAUGGUCAUAACGUCAUUUAUUUAAUUGAGUUCACUAUUACUCUACGUAAUUUCAGGUUGCAUAAUGGAAAGUGAGGUAUCACACUAUGAUGGGACAACUUGAUUUAGUUUAGUUCCUUUUGUUCCUAUAAUAAUUCAUAGGUAAUUGAGGAUUUCAUUUAUUCUAAUAGGAAACUUAACAAGGAACAGAAUAAUGGAAGAUCAAGAGGGUGAUUACAUCAAAGAUUUGUAGCUGUAAUUACAUAUGUAUCAGUUUCUAAUUUCACACUUUGUUCUUGGAUUCAUUUCUUUCUUCCCCCAAUUCCGUGACAUUUUUUUUAAUUUAUUCCAAGUCGAACUUUGCUCCAUGGUUUUUCCAUUCUUUGUUUCUCUGUAGAUUAAUAACUUUGGAUGUAUAAUCUGCUUACUGCAGUUAAAACAUAGGGGCCACAUCCACACGGACAAGGGGUUCCAUCUUCACCUGCUGCUCUAGAACCUGCUACUCUUGUUCCUCUUCAGCUUUUAAAGUCAAGUGGAACCAAAUGCAUAAUGGUUGGUGACCCAAAGCAACUUCCUGCAACUGUCCUCUCAAAUGUUGCGAGUAAAUAUCUUUACGAGUGCAGCAUGUUUGAACGUUUACAAAGGGCAGGGCAUCCUGUUAUCAUGCUUACUGAGCAGGUACAUAGUUUGCUACUGGA